Molecule: long non-coding RNA, 1762 nt
Organism: Macaca fascicularis (crab-eating macaque)
Lineage: Eukaryota; Metazoa; Chordata; Mammalia; Primates; Cercopithecidae
Source: Ensembl
GACCUGGCUCUGCAGGGUCCUACGAGAGCUUUCCUCUAGCAAAGGAGACACAGGGGAGGCAAGAGCUGAGAGAAAUGGAAGAAAUGCAAAUGGCUACACUUGUGGCAAAGCAUAGAUGAUACCCUCCAUGCACCAGGUGCUGUGCUAAGAGCUCCAUCUGAUGUCACUGAGUCCUUGCAACCCUAUCAGGCUGAUAAUCUUACGAUUUGUUUCACAGAGGAGGAAACUUAGGCAUGGAGAGAUUAUACAGCUUGCCCCAGUCCUCCCAGGUGGUAGAGCAGGAACCUGAAGCCAGUGAGUUGGACUGGCUGGAAAGGUGCUGGGAAUGAGAGAGGUCAGAGUGGGGUUAGGACUUGGCUCUCCAUGGCGGAAGGUUCUGAGAUGCCCACGGUGGGAGAAUGUAGGCUCAGCCCUCAGAGGUGGAUCUUCUCUUACAACACAAGGACCCACACAGUAGUUCCCAGAGCUGCAGCAAACACCUGCCAGAAAGGACUUAACUGUGAUGGUUGGAGAAUUUGAUGGAAACUGAGAGGUGAGGGCCAGGCAGGGAUGUAAACUCAAGGUAAAGUUCCAGCAAUGGGUUAAGAGCAACCAAGAUGCUUCUGAAAGUCAACAAGGUGGGGGACUUGUUCUAGCAGAUUUUAAGCCUUCUUAUACAUUUAGUCUGCCUUCUGUAUCUGCAGGUUCUGAAUCCAUGGGUUCAACCAACCACAGAUAGAAAAUAUUCAGAAAAAAAUUCCACAAAUGUCCAAAAAGCAGAGCUUGAAUUCACCAGGCACCAACUCCUACAUUGAAGCCACGCACAUGAAGUGAUGUGUAAGUAUUGUGUUAGGCACCCUGAGUCAUCUAGAGAUGAUUUAAAGUAUAUGGGAGGGCCAGGCACAGUGGCUCACACCUGUAAUCCCAGCACUUUGGAAGGCCAAGAGGGGCGGAUCAUGAGGUCAGGAAUUUGAGACUAGUCUGACCAACAUGGUAAAACCCUGUCUCCACUAAAAAUACAUAAAAUAGCCAAGCGUGAUGGCACGCACCUGUAAUCCCAGCUACUCAGGAGGCUGAGGCAGGAGAAUCACUUGAACCUGGGAGGCGGAGGUUGCAGUGAGCCAAGAUUGCACCAUUGCACUCCAGCCUGGGCAACAAUAAGAGUGAGACUCCAUCUCAACAACAACAACAACAAAAAAGCAUAUGGGAGGAUAUGUGUAACUUAUAUGCAAAUACUACUUAUUCUAUAUCAGGGACUUGAGCAUCCAUAGAUUUUGGUAUUUGUGGGUAUUGGUCCUAGAACCAAUCUACAUGGAUAUUGAGGGAUUACUGUAGUGAUGAUGACAGUGUGGUGUUGGGAGAGAGAGAGAAGGAGAGAACAAACUAAAGACAGAGAUAGAGAGCCCAGUAACCAUCUGACAUAUACAAAGACAUGUUGUAUGUGACAGGAGGGAUGGCAGUUCACUCAUGUAAAAAUUAACUGUUGGCCAGGCGCAGUGACUCACGCCUGUAGUUCCAGCACUUUAGGAGGCCGAGGCGGGUGGAUCACGAGGUCAGGAGAUUGAGACCAUCCUGGCAAACACAGUGAAACCCCGCCUCUACUAAAAAUACAAAAAAAUCACUGGGUGUGGUGGCGGGCACCUGUAGUCCCAGCUACUCGGGAGGCUGAGGCAGGAGAAUGGUGUGAACCCAGGAGGCGGGGCUGGCAGUGAGCUGAGACCGUGCCACAGCACUCCAGCCUGGGCGACAGAGAAAGACUCCGUCUAAAAAAAAAAAAAAAAAA